GAUGAACGCUGGCGGCGUGCCUAAUACAUGUAAGUCGAGCGAACAGACGAGGAGCUUGCUCCUCUGACGUUAGCGGCGGACGGGUGAGUAGCACGUGGAUAACCUACCUAUAAGACUGGGAUAACUUCGGGAAACCGGAGCUAAUACCGGAUAACAUGUUGAACCGCAUGGUUCAACAGUGAAAGACGGUCUUGCUGUCACUUAUAGAUGGAUCCGCGCCGCAUUAGCUAGUUGGUAAGGUAACGGCUUACCAAGGCAACGAUGCGUAGCCGACCUGAGAGGGUGAUCGGCCACACUGGAACUGAGACACGGUCCAGACUCCUACGGGAGGCAGCAGUAGGGAAUCUUCCGCAAUGGGCGAAAGCCUGACGGAGCAACGCCGCGUGAGUGAAGAAGGUCUUCGGAUCGUAAAACUCUGUUAUUAGGGAAGAACAAAUGUGUAAGUAACUAUGCACGUCUUGACGGUACCUAAUCAGAAAGCCACGGCUAACUACGUG
This 497-nucleotide ribosomal RNA is filed under the name uncultured bacterium. RNAcentral describes it as "partial 16S ribosomal RNA". It matches the Rfam family "Bacterial small subunit ribosomal RNA", at positions 28 to 507 of the family's 1533-position model. The record is from RNAcentral.